This 420-nucleotide ribosomal RNA is filed under the name uncultured bacterium. RNAcentral describes it as "partial 16S ribosomal RNA". It matches the Rfam family "Bacterial small subunit ribosomal RNA", at positions 355 to 772 of the family's 1533-position model. The record is from RNAcentral.
UGGGGAAUUUUGGACAAUGGGCGAAAGCCUGAUCCAGCAAUGCCGCGUGUGUGAAGAAGGCCUUCGGGUUGUAAAGCACUUUUGUCCGGAAAGAAAUCCUUGGCUCUAAUACAGUCGGGGGAUGACGGUACCGGAAGAAUAAGCACCGGCUAACUACGUGCCAGCAGCCGCGGUAAUACGUAGGGUGCAAGCGUUAAUCGGAAUUACUGGGCGUAAAGCGUGCGCAGGCGGUUUGCUAAGACCGAUGUGAAAUCCCCGGGCUCAACCUGGGAACUGCAUUGGUGACUGGCAGGCUAGAGUAUGGCAGGAGGGGGGUAGAAUUCCACGUGUGAGCAGUGAAAUGCGUAGAGAUGUGGAGGAAUACCGAUGGCGAAGGCGAGCCCUGGCAAUACGAUCAUGCACGAAAGCGUGGGGAGCAAA